UGCUCUCCUGCCCCCGCCCCACUUCCUCAGGAACAAGUGUCACAAGCCGCCCAGCAGCUGAGGAAGACAUGCUUUGGCACAGAGCGGAGCCUGCCAGUCUGCGAUCCCAGAGCUGCAAGCACUUGUCUAUGUCUCUACCUGUGCAGAAGCCCAUCUGCCAAGGCCGCCCACAGAAGCCCCACUCCGGGCGCUGUGGAGAACAAGCUCAAAGGUGAUGAAACAUUACCCAGGGUGGAGGCCGUAAUGGCAUCCACUCGAGGAGAUCUCAACAAAACACCGCCAGUGACCACGGCCCUCACUCCAUCUGCUACCUGAACACCCCACCACCAAGCAAAGUCCAGCACAAAGAGACUCCUCGGGAUGUUUUACAUGAAUGUUAAGAAUUCCAGCCCAUGUGCCCCACCAGAUGAGAUUCACUGAUUAUCGGGGUCUCCCCACCCAUCCUAACUUCAUGACAUCAUUUCCUGUUGUGCUGUGGAUAUCGCUCUAUAUAAAUAAAACACUGAUGGCCAGUGACCAGACAGGAAAUAUAGGCGGGACA
Long non-coding RNA from Peromyscus leucopus (white-footed mouse), 541 nucleotides. RefSeq lists it as uncharacterized. The record is from RefSeq and is a predicted model, not a curated record. The transcript is spliced from 4 exons. Lineage: Eukaryota; Metazoa; Chordata; Mammalia; Rodentia; Cricetidae.